Triticum aestivum (bread wheat) is the source of this 3413-nucleotide long non-coding RNA. RefSeq lists it as uncharacterized. The transcript has 4 exons. Lineage: Eukaryota; Viridiplantae; Streptophyta; Magnoliopsida; Poales; Poaceae. The record is from RefSeq and is a predicted model, not a curated record.
AACCGCAGCUAAGGGAAAAAGUUUGAGCUAGGACUCUUCUCCACCUUCCUUCAAAAAAGGACUCUUCUUCAACCCGUCCUCCGGACUCGAGGAAUCCUCCUCCAUGAUGGCAACUCCUCCGCCUUCCUUCCUAUAAGAACCUCCUCCUCGCGCGAGCCACCUGAUUUGCUGAGAUCGUGGUAACACGCAAGUGCGGCGCGGAGCUCGCUCAAGGUCGAUGCGCCCCGUGGUGGUGGCGUUCGAGGCGGGUCGGCCAGAGGUUCAACAAUUUCUCGAUCUCCGGGGUUCAACAAUUUCUCGCCGGAUCCGCUCGUCGGCAUCCGUGGACUGCAUGAGCCGGAUGUCUCCUGUGCCCUAGCAGUGGUCAAUCGAUCUCCCUCUCCCGAACGACCCCGACAGUAGGUGCAUGAGCCCAUGGCCGGUUGCGUCGGCGAUGGGGUUGGAGCGCAUAAUAGUGACAUCAACCUGACUGCUGGCUGUUAAGCAUCUUCUUUGACGUCCAUACUACCACAUAUCUUAUUUAGUUUGACCUUCUGUGAGGAUGAGGGCUUCGUGUCUCACAUGAUAGUGUUCUCUCCCAAUCUUACGAGGCUACCACAAUCAUAAGCCAUCAUGUUCAUUAGGGAAAUAAUGAUUCAAGAAAAGAAGAUGGUUUGGGGAAACACAAAUAUGCUGGGGGCAUAGUAAAGCUGCAGAUCUAAAUGCAUGGACAAUAUCUCCUGCAGUUUUGAUUCAUUUUUAUUCAGGUAACUGCUCCAGGUGAGAAUGAUAUGCUGCUGGUCAUGCCAAAGGUUGUGAUACAUUUUUUUAUGAUAGUAUGAAUUGAUUGAUGAUGCAUCACAAGAAGCACAAGUUCUGCAGUAUCCAUUUCAGCAAGAAGUUUGCAUUGAGUAAUUCUUUUCAAGAAGAAGCUUACCAUGCACAACUAGCUAGCGAAUACUUCAUUCUUCGGUGGAAGACAUAGCAUAUAAUUACCUUGAGCACAUCAAUACAAGAUUUUCUAGCAUCAAGUAUUGUUCAUGGUUCACUCAUAAUGUGUGUUCUGUCCACUUUUCAACUUAAUUUUAUUAAGAUUUCUGGUUAUCACUGCAGGAGUUGCACCAGAGUCAAUGAGGGUAGUCUGCAUUGCAGACUGUGUUAACUAUUCCAGAUUUUAUCAACAUUAAAUUGUGCAUUGCCAUUGCCAUUUCCAUUUCUUGCAUCACCUACCUUGAAGUUGAGAGGAUUGAUUUUUCUGUAAUUGUUCAAUUGGAAGUAAAAAAUCAACUCUGCAUGCUUACAUGAAGCUAGAUUCCUGAAAAAUAGUUGUUUUCGCACAGUAUAUCAGUAUUUUGUUUCCCGAUCUAAAAAAGAUGUGUCUGAGCCUGACACAAGAGUUUGGCUAAUCUGCAGUAUGACUCAUUAGUAGUAUUUUCUUAGACAUGUUGAAUCAUUCCUCUAUCCCAGUAUUCAAAAUUUACAUAUUGUGAUAUUGUCACAACUGUCAAGUGUAGGUUCCACAACCAAGCAGAAGUUGUCACCAAAGGUCAAGAUGGAAAUAGGUAAAACCGGUAUUUACAUGUUACACAUCCGCAGCUGUAGGAUGAACUGCCAUGGACUCCUGACCAACUAUCCCACACAUACGACUCUUUAAAAGGAUGUUCUUCCUCUAUCUCUCCAUGUCGUGUUUUAUUCCAUCCCAUACUUCAUGGUUCCAUCAGUACUGGAUUCCCAACAAGGAGAACGUGAUUCGGUCCAUCUAUGCCUUCCCCUUAUCAUAUUCAAGGUUUUGCAUUACAGGAUGAUUGAUGCGUCCGAUGAGCAUCCACAAUAAUGUGAAGUAAGGAGGCGACAUCGGUAGUUGAGGCUAUCAAGUGGAGGAAUAUGUUGGAUUGGUGGUGGCACGCAAAUCACACUCUAAAUCCAAUUGGAGUUCAUCUAUUCUACCAUCGCCCCACGCUGUCGCACUUCUCCUUACCAGAUUACACGUUGGAGGGAGGGGGGAACCAGCUGGGGCGGUCUGCAAUCUGCAAAGUCUAAAGUUGAACCCUGCACGUACAUCUCGCCGAUGCCGACAAUAUUUGGUUUGGUUUCAGUGAGCACGUGCUUGAACGCCUCAAAUUUUCUUGAUAUGUCCCUACUGUUAAGGCUGGCGCCUUGAUGCUCCUGCAGGCUACCAGGAAGGACCUAUUCAAUUGUGUUGGUUGUUGUGUUCGUUCUAAUGGGAUACAAGUCACAUGGCGUGAUGGACAUCAGAUAGAGAAGACAAACAGAGCUAUCACUAUAGACGCAUAACGAACUUCUCAUAUUUACAUGGUUGAGUAUAAAUGUAUGUCCAAGUAUUUUUAUAGUUCAAUGUUACGUGAGUAAAUAUACAUCUUACACCAAAAUAUUCAGAAAUCCUCAGUUCAAUAUACUAUGUUCAUAAAUAAAUAGAUGAUUAACUCGACGCAUGCAUAAUAAAUUCAAGGUAUCUAACCACAGUUUUUGUAAGUAAAAGGCAGUAUAACAAAGAGUAGAAUCUAACACUUAUUUUCGUGUCAUUUUGGCUUCAGUAUUGAGAGAAAUAAAGUUUUUUUUUUUGUAAUGAAGACGCCAAAGGCGUCCGGCUUUAAAUUACCAAAGCCAACAAGGCAGCGUUCACAAAGUCUGAAAACAGAUACCACGGCAAUCCAGCUUAAGUAUUACAUAACCAGCCAAAAUAAAAGAGGUCCAUCAACACCAGCACGCAGGCUGGAAUAACAGGUCAUCGGCAAGCAUACACAAAGAAACGGAUGCAAAAUGAUAUCAGUCUUGAGCAGCUACUUGGCGCGCUUCCACCUGAAUGUUGCGGAUCCGCUCCAUCGUCUCGAUCAUGCGCUCCUCAUCUUGCAGUUUCCCCAACGGUGUUCAGGUCUGCAAGAAGAGGUGACAUUUGGACAGGACAUUGGCUGGGUGAGAAGGGAAUUUCUUCUGGAUGGUCAUCUUAUUACGCACAGUCCAUAAGGACCAAAGAGCGCCCCUAUGCAUCACCAAACAAUCCUUGCACUAGCCCCCUUUUGCGUAUGAAUAAUUUGUAAAAGAUUGGCACCGGAUGAAGGGUUCUAGUUUUGCUGGAAAGCGGCUCACAGCGCUCCAGGAAAACGUGGCUAGGUGACAAUGAAAGAAGGCAUGAUUUGCAGCUUCGAUGGUACCGCACACCACACAAGACCAGUCGGAAGGUCCGUUGCGUUUCGCAACGUUAUCCGCCGUCCGUAGGCGGUUUUGGAACAUUUGCCAUAGGAAGAUUUUUAGCUUAAGCGGGAGACCGGCCUUCCAUAGCCCCCGAGCUAUGGAGAGAAAUAAAGUUAGGGUAACUAUUCAUUCUAAAUGGUUUCUUGUCUUACUAGAUUGACCUUUUUCUUUCCUUAUAGAUCCGUAAAAUAAAUAGCAUAUCAUGGUUUUCGGUCUCCUCA